Molecule: ribosomal RNA, 427 nt
Filed under: uncultured bacterium
Lineage: Bacteria
Description: bacterial SSU rRNA
Rfam family: Bacterial small subunit ribosomal RNA
Source: RNAcentral
UGGGGAAUCUUGCGCAAUGGGCGAAAGCCUGACGCAGCGACGCCGCGUGAGCGAUGAAGGCCUUCGGGUUGUAAAGCUCUGUGGGGAGGAACGAAUAAGGGUUGGCUAAUAUCCAACCUGAUGACGGUACCUCCUUAGCAAGCACCGGCUAACUCUGUGCCAGCAGCCGCGGUAAUACAGAGGGUGCAAACGUUGUUCGGAAUUACUGGGCGUAAAGCGCGUGUAGGCGGCCUCGUGUGUCGGGCGUGAAAUCCCACGGCUCAACCGUGGAAGUGCACUCGAAACUGCAAGGCUGGAGUACUGGAGAGGAUGGUGGAAUGCUCGGUGUAGAGGUGAAAUUCGUAGAUAUCGAGCGGAACACCGGUGGCGAAGGCGGCCAUCUGGACAGUCACUGACGCUGAGACGCGAAAGCGUGGGGAGCAAACAG